AUAAUUGUGUAUAACGGAUGCCUUGGUAAUUUUACUUAUGAAGGAAAUAAAUAAUUUUAGGGAGUUUUUCUUUGAUCUAAAAUUUUCCUAAUGGGGUAACCUAAUUUUUACAUUAUUCAUAUUUUAAAAUAUGAAAAAUUACGUAAUGAACUGAAACAUCUUAGUAAUUAUAGGAAAAUAAAUCAAAAUGAGAUUUCUUUAGUAGUGGCGAGCGAAAAAGAAAAUAGUUUUAUAUUUUUUAAAUAAUAAAAUUAAUGUUUUUGAAUAAACUGCCAUAGAAGGUAAAAGCCCUGUGAAAAAUUUUUAAAAAAUAUAUUUUAUAAAAUUAGUAAAACGGAACACGUGAAAUUUUGUUUGAAUAAUUUUAUUAAGGGGGACCAUCCUCUAAAAUUAAAUAUUUAGAAUUAACCGAUAGUGAACUAGUACUGUAAAGGAAAGGUGAAAAAGAACUCUUAUUAAGAGAUUGAAAUAGAUUCUGAAAUUAUACACAUAAUAUCAGUCGAAGCUUUAUAAUUUGUAACGGCGUACCUUUUGUAUAAUGGGUCAGUGAGUUAUAUAUAAUAGCAAGCUUAAAUUCUUAAUAUAGGCGCAGCGAAAGCGUAUUUUAAUAAAAUAUUUAGUUAUUAUAUAUAGACCCGAAACCAAGUGAUCUACCCAUGGCCAGGAUGAAAAAUAUAUUUGAGGUCCGAACCCACUAACGUUGAAAAGUUAGGGGAUGAGCUGUGGGUAGGGGUGAAAGGCUAAUCAAACUUGGAGAUAGCUGGUUCUCUUCGAAAACUAUUUAGGUAGUUUCUUUUGUGUUUUUAUAAUUGGUAGAGCACUGCAAUUUAAAAGGAUUUUUAAAAAAAAUCUUUUUAUAUUGUAAACUCCGAAUAUUUUUAAUAUAAUCAAUGGAAACAGACAAUGGGCCAUAACGUUCUUUGUCGAGAGGGAAACAACCCAGAUCAUUAGUUAAGGUCCUUAAAUAUUUCUAAGUGUUUUAAACGGAUUAUAAAAACUAUAACAAUUAGGAGGUAGGCUUAGAAGCAGCCAUCUUUUAAAGAAAGCGUAACAGCUCACUAAUUUAGUUUUUAUAUCCGGAAAAUUUCCGGGGCUAAGAUAUAUACCGAAACUAUGAAUGUGAUAUUUUUCACAUGGUAGAAGAGCUUUCUGUAUAUUGUUGAAUAAUUAUUGUGAAAUAAUUUGGAAAUUUCAGAAGUGAGAAUGCUGACAUGAGUAACGAUAAAAAAAGUGAAAAACUUUUUCGCCGAAAACCUAAGGUUUCCUACACAAUGUUAAUCAAUGUAGGGUUAGUCGAUACUAAGGUAAUACUUUAAAAGGUUUAACCGAUGAAAAUUAGGUUAAUAUUCCUAUACUUUUAAUAGAUUUUAUGAAAUCUAAAUUAAUGCGAUUAGCCAUUUCUUAGGUAAAAUGGUUUUUUUUAAUUUUUAUUUUUAAAUAAAUUUUAAAAAUGUUUUUAAAUUAAAAUUUAAAUAAUCUUUAUAAUUUCUGGAAAAAUUUCUAAAAUUUUUUAUUAAUAAUCGUACUAUAAACCGACACAGGUGGGUGAGAUGAGUAUUCUAAGGCGCUUGAGAAAACUUAGGGGAAGGAACUCGGCAAAUUAACACUGUAACUUUGGAAGAAGGUGUGCCUGUGAAGUACGUGAUACAUUCACGUACUUCACAGGCCUUUGAAAAAUGGUAGCUGCGACUGUUUAAUAAAAACACAGCACUCUGCUAAUAUUUUUAGAUGUAUAGGGUGUGACGCCUGCCCGGUGCUGGAAGAUUAAACAAAGGAAUUAAUAGUUUCUAGUUAAGUCCCAGUAAACGGCGGCCGUAACUAUAACGGUCCUAAGGUAGCGAAAUUCCUUGUCGGGUAAGUUCCGACCUGCACGAAUGGCGUAACGAUGGCUACACUGUCUCCCUCUAAGACUCAGUGAAAUUGAAAUGUUUGUGAAGAUGCGAACUACCUGCGGCAAGACGGAAAGACCCCAUGAACCUUUACUGUAUCUUUGUAUUGUGGUUUAAUAUUUUUUGUGUAGUAUAGGUGGGAGACAAUGAAAAUAAAACGCAAGUUUUAUUGGAGUCGAAAAUGAAAUACCACCCUUAAAAUUUUACUCCUCUUAACUUUUAUUUACUUAAAUUAAAAGGACAUUUCAUGGUUGACAGUUUGACUGGGGCGGUCUCCUCCUAAAAGAUAACGGAGGAGUACAAAGGUAUGUUAUUCACGGUUGGAAACCGUGUUUUAGUGUAAUGGCUUAAACAUGCUUAACUGUUAGACUCACUAGUCACACAGAUGCGAAAGCAGGUCAUAGUGAUCCGGUAAUUCUUUAUGGAUUGGUUAUCGCUCAACGGAUAAAAGGUACUCUGGGGAUAACAGGCUAAUACCGCCCAAGAGUUCAUAUCGACGGCGGUGUUUGGCACCUCGAUGUCGGCUCAUCUCAUCCCGGAGCUGAAAAAGGUUCCAAGGGUAUGGCUGUUCGCCAUUUAAAGAGGUACGUGAGCUGGGUUUAAAACGUCGUGAGACAGUUUGGUCCCUAUCUGCCGUGGGCGUUGGAUAUUUGAGAGAAGCUUUUUCUAGUACGAGAGGAUCGAAAUGGACAAACCAAUGGUGUUCUGAUUGUUACACCAGUAGCAACGUCAGGUAGCUAAGUUUGGUUAAUUAACUUCUGAAAGCAUAUAAGAAGGAAAUUAUUCUCAAGAUUAAAUAUCCCAAAGAUUUUUUCUUUUUAAAAGCUGUUCUAGAUUAGGACUUUGAUAGGUUAAAUGUGUAAUUAUAGUAAUAUAUUUAGCAUAUUAAUACUAAUUGCUUAAAAGACUUGAUA
This 2803-nucleotide ribosomal RNA is filed under the name Candidatus Nasuia deltocephalincola. RNAcentral describes it as "Candidatus Nasuia deltocephalinicola 23S ribosomal RNA". It matches the Rfam family "Bacterial large subunit ribosomal RNA". Lineage: Bacteria; Pseudomonadati; Pseudomonadota; Betaproteobacteria. The record is from RNAcentral.